This is a non-coding RNA of Helianthus annuus (common sunflower), 157 nucleotides long. The record is from Rfam. NCBI's taxonomy places the organism in Eukaryota, Viridiplantae, Streptophyta, Magnoliopsida, Asterales, Asteraceae.
GUUGCUUCAUAAAUGGUGAAAUCUCUCAAAAUUAAAUGAGAGAAUUUCAAGUUUCCGGAGCAUAUAUUUAGUAUUAUUACUAUUAUAUAUCACCAGUAUUAAACAGCUCCAUGUGUGUAUACAAUUGCAUCGGCGUUACCUGUCUCCUGGAACAUUG